Long non-coding RNA from Felis catus (domestic cat), 346 nucleotides. RefSeq lists it as uncharacterized. The record is from RefSeq and is a predicted model, not a curated record. The transcript has 2 exons. NCBI's taxonomy places the organism in Eukaryota, Metazoa, Chordata, Mammalia, Carnivora, Felidae.
GCCACAGGGAGGUAGGGCUCUCAUUGGGACACCCAUCCGCUGACUGAGGCUGCUCCCAGAAGAGCAGCGAGCCUGGCCAGGCUGGGAAACUCAAGUGCUUAAAAUCUCGGCUCUCCUCUACCUUCCAAGACAGUCUCCCCCCAUGGAAAUAAGCCUCGGACAUUCUUAUGACCAUAGAAAUGGGAGCAAGUUCAAGAGGACAAACGUAUAUUCUGCCCUAGCAGACCCUUACCAGCACUGCUGCCUUCCCUCCACCUUUCCUUCUUUCCCAAUUCUACCUGUGCCCAGACUCCAUGCUGAGCCCUGUAUAUGAAACAUCUCAAUUAAACUUCAAAACAAUCCCAUU